CUGUCCUGAAACUCACUCUGUAGACCAGGCUAGCCUCUUCAUUGUCCCCCAGGCUGAGGAAGUGUCACUUGGAGCCUGCAGCUGGCAGAGAGAUAGCCUCUGUUCUCUGCAACAACUCACACCUCAUGGAGCUGGACCUGACCGGAAACCCCCUGGAGGACCUGGGACUGAAGCUGUUGUGUCCAGGACUGAGGCACCCGGCCUGCAGGCUGCACACCUUGUGGCGCCAACGUGACAACCUGAGCUGGGCUCAGACGCAUGCACAGGGAUCGCCCGUGUGCUCCAAGUCAACUCUUGCCUCCGAGAACUGGACCUGAGCUUCAACGACUUGGGAGACAGGGGGCUGUGGCUGCUGGGGGAAGGCCUGCGGCACCCAGCCUGCAGACUCCGGAAGCUGUGGCUGGACAGCUGUGGCCUCACAUCCAAAGCAGCUGAGGACCUUUCUUCCAUCCUGGGAACCAACCAGACCCUAACUGAGCUUUAUGUGACCAACAAUGCUCUGGGGGACACAGGUGUCCGGAUGCUUUGUGGAGGCUGAGACAUCCAAGCUGCAAACUGCGAGUCCUGUGGUGAGAGAUGGACCCUGAUUUCUUGGGGACAAUGGGGGAUUCCCGAAAGCUGGACUCAGAUGUGGGGGUAGGAAUUCUAAAUGAUUGAGAUGCAUUAAACACUGGAUAAGUAAUGCUGGAGAGAUAGAUCAACAGUUAAAAGCACUUGGUGAUCUCACAGGGGACCUGCGUUCAAUUCCCAGCACCCAUGUCAGGUGACAACGUUCACCCACAAUUCUAGCUCUAACUCCCUUUUCUAGUUUUCAUUGUCAUGCCCCCACCUCACACCCACAUGGACACACAGAAAUGAAAAUAAUAAAAAUUUAAUGCACCG
Molecule: long non-coding RNA, 882 nt
Organism: Mesocricetus auratus (golden hamster)
Lineage: Eukaryota; Metazoa; Chordata; Mammalia; Rodentia; Cricetidae
Exons: 3
Source: RefSeq, a predicted model, not a curated record